AGAGGGUGAGAGCCCCGUCGUG
This 22-nucleotide small nuclear RNA is filed under the name Arabidopsis thaliana (thale cress). RNAcentral's name for it is "snRNA_17618". Lineage: Eukaryota; Viridiplantae; Streptophyta; Magnoliopsida; Brassicales; Brassicaceae. The record is from RNAcentral.